CGGUAUAGUAAGUUCCUGGUAAAAUCGGGUAACUUAACUAUCCGUGUGCUAGGAAUACUGCUAUACUAGAGGGCGGGAGAAGUCUGAGGUACUGCAGGGGUAGGGGUGAAAUCCUAUAAUCCUUGCAGGACCACCGGUGGCGAAAGCGUCAGACUGGAACGCGCCUGACGGUGAGGGACGAAAGCCAGGGGAGCGAACCGGAUUAGAUACCCGGGUAGUCCUGGCCGUAAACGAUGCAUACUAGGUGACGGCACGGCCAUGAGCCGUGUCGGUGCCGUAGGGAAACCGUUAAGUGUGCCGCCUGGGAA
RNAcentral lists this ribosomal RNA (308 nucleotides) under uncultured archaeon. RNAcentral describes it as "bacterial SSU rRNA". It matches the Rfam family "Archaeal small subunit ribosomal RNA", at positions 526 to 834 of the family's 1478-position model. The record is from RNAcentral.